Non-coding RNA from Lolium perenne, 2147 nucleotides. Lineage: Eukaryota; Viridiplantae; Streptophyta; Magnoliopsida; Poales; Poaceae. The record is from RefSeq and is a predicted model, not a curated record.
AAAAAAAAGGAAAAAGAAGAUCCCCCACUCACUCUCUUCCCUCCUGCUCCAUGACCGGCCAAAUCCCAGUACUCGCCGGCGACCAAAUCCCCCCCGCUCCAUGACCGGAAAUCAUGCGCCUCUGUCCCUCCUCCCUGCGUCAGCCGGUUCCAGCUUUCCCCCCUCUCCUUCUUUUGACCGACGCCUCCAAAUCGGCCUCCAGCUGACGCGAACCCCCUCCAUGGCUGGACCGAUGUUGGCGCCGCCACGGUGCCGACACGCCACCGUUCCAAGCAAGAUCGGCGGCUCGCGCUUCGCCUCCAUGGCUGGUCCUGCCACUGCCGCCACGACCACCCUCUUUCCCUCCACUCGCUAGCCAGUGCUAGGCUCCGAGCCGCCGACGGAGAGGGAGGCGCGGCCGCGGCCACCACACGCGGGCUGGAUGGGUCCGCACCGAACGGCCUCCUCCUCUCACGGGACACCUGCGAGGGUUGCCCUUGCAGCUCCAAGAACUAAAUUAGAGACUUGGGGUUUUAAUGGUGUUGAUGUCAUAAGGAAAAGUAAACAACAGGUGCGCUCAAGAUUGAACUGUCAAGAUCAGAGUAUGAUGCUUCCUAUCAGACUUUGGGUGUUGGCUUCAACCAAAAUUCCUAUUCAGAAGUAGGCAUGUAAGCCUACCUACCUUGUAUCCUCUAAAUAAUUAGAAAAUCUCUUUUGAAGUACGAAUAGGACAAAAUCUCUCUCAGAAUGCAAUCGGACCAGAUAGCUGGUGACAGUUACACCAAGCUUCUUGCAUAUGUGUAUAACUUGCCAAAUCAGGAUUCCAAAUCCUGAGUUGUCAUGCACAUAAAUAUUUCUGAAGAUCGAAGCAACAAAUCCUCUUGAAUGAUAUGUAUUCUUUCCCUAUUACUUACUGGUGUUUUAACACAAAGUAAUCAUUAUGUAUAAUUAUACACAUCAUUGUCCCUGUAGAAAAAAAUACAUAGAUAACCAAUGUACAUAUUUAUUUCUACAUGAUAGAACAGUAUGUACUCAUCAUCAGAUAUGUAUUGAGUUGUUGCAUUGUAGCUAGCUUGGAAUUAAAGUGAUGGUAUGGAAGUUAUUUUGCCUAUAACAUGAAAUGAAGUGUUAUAAAGUUUCAAAUUAUAUAAAAUUACCUACUGCAUUGAGGCAAAUAUGAUUCAAUAGAUCAUAGCUAUGAAAAAACUAAACCUGGGUCCUUAUCUAAAUCCGAUAAUUUGUUUUCCUCUUGGAGAGAAUGGACUUGGUAAUAUGUGGCCAUUACGAUUUAAUUUUUUUAGGGAACUCGGGUAUUUAUGUUCUGGGAUUCAUGUGAAGAAAUAUAGGGUUUAUGCACAGAUUUAAAUUCAAGUGGGAAACCUAAAUAUGUUGAUUAAGAUUAGCAUAUAGGUAAGUUAAACUAUAGACUUGACAUAUGUACAGUAAUCUUAUUUGUACAUCUCAAACAGGUUGGAAAGAGUACUAAUGGCAGUUUGAAACAAACAAGAUGUGCGGCUGCCAUUUGUAGUUAAGGAACUACUUGGUCGUCUAAAAUCCCUAGCAUGAGCGCCGUGCUAGGCAUUACAGAAAGGAGGUGCAAAUUUCCAGCGCCAUCGCAUCAGCGCCUUACUUGGCACUGCAACAAGGAGGUGAGGAUGUCCAGUGGCCGGCGACAUGUGGGAAGGCCCAUGGAAGCAUCAGCCAGUAUUGUCUGGUGCCCAAUGAUACAUAGGUAAACAUGAUGGAUGAGUAGUAUGCUACUGAUGAAGAUGAUUAAGUACGAUGUCAUCUACUGUCAGUUGAUAAUUCCUGGGAACAACAUAAACAAAACUGAAACCAGGAAAAGGGUGUCGGAUAAUUACUGUGGAGAUUUGGAAUUAUUGGGGAAUUUUUAGGACCAAGAAACUCACAUUUGUCAAUUCGGAUUCAAGAUUCUCAGGUUUCGAAGUUGGUAAUGCUUGCUCCUUUGCUCCAUCGUUGAUGGUUUCCUGUACAUGCACACAAAACUCUUACAUUAGUGGAGAACCAGGACUACUAAACAACCGAAGAGUGAAAAAUCUUCCAGACAUAUAAUGCCUUUUCUUGUAUUGCCUUUUUUGACUCGGGGUUUGUAUCAUUGUAUUUGGUUAUCACUUCUUCCGUCUUCAUAUUAUCUGUGUCCUCACCCA